AUCACCGGGAUAAAGGCAUCUUAUCGCUUGACUUAUCCUCAUCAUUCCCUAGUCAUCAAUCGAUUCGGUGGCUUUUUCCUCGGUGGA
This 87-nucleotide microRNA precursor is filed under the name Tetranychus urticae (two-spotted spider mite). RNAcentral describes it as "microRNA tur-mir-5730 precursor". Lineage: Eukaryota; Metazoa; Arthropoda; Arachnida; Trombidiformes; Tetranychidae. The record is from miRBase by way of RNAcentral.